UUUAUGCGAAUAACCGGUGUGAAUUGCAGAAUUCAGUGAAUCAUCGAAUCUUUGAACGCACCUUGCGCUCCUUGGUAUUCCGAGGAGCAUGCCUGUUUGAGUGUCAUGAAAUUCUCAACCUUUGUUACUUUUUUUGUUUCAAAGAGUCUGGAAGUGGAGGUUGCUGGCUUUUGUUGAAAGAGUCGGCUCCUCUGAAAUACAUUAGUGGGACCCAUCGUUGAUUAGCUCCCUGGUGUGAUAGUUAUCUACGCCGUGGCUCAUCACGAUAUUGUGUGGUUCAGCUUUCUAACGAGACAACAACAACUGUCUUUGAUUAUUUUGACCUCAAAUCAGGUAGGACUACCCGCUGAACUUAAGCAUAUCAAUAAGGCGGAGGAA
This 378-nucleotide ribosomal RNA is filed under the name Calocybe sp. BAB-3662. RNAcentral's name for it is "eukaryotic LSU rRNA". The stretch from base 1 to 106 matches the Rfam family "5.8S ribosomal RNA", at positions 50 to 154 of the family's 154-position model. Lineage: Eukaryota; Fungi; Basidiomycota; Agaricomycetes; Agaricales; Lyophyllaceae. The record is from RNAcentral.